AUUUUAGCCACUUAGUACUGUGGGCGAAGAUGAUAUAGCUGAUAUACUUCUUGACUUCAAUGACUUAGCGAAGAUCCCUUAUUUCAUAGAGUAUGUCAGAGAAUUGCAGCGAGGCUUGGUUAAGUUCAGAGACGAGAUAAGUGGUGAGGUAGCAAGCAGAGAUAUAGCUCCACCAUUGAUUCUUCCAAAAUUGCCUGGAAGAUUCUACUAUCUAUUUGGGAAGCCAAUAAGCACAAAAGGGAUGGAGAACAUGCUUAAAGACAGAGAAGCUGCCAACAAACUAUACCUUCAAAUUAAGUCAGAAGUUGAGAACAAUAUGUGUUACUUGCUCAAGAAAAGGCAGGAGGAUCUGUAUAGGAAUUUCAUUGAUAAGAGGUUCAUUUGUAUGAGAAUCUCUUAAAUGGAUGUGAAGUAGUGGAAUCACAGUAAGGCUGCCUCUUUCUAAGUCGAAGAAGGAUAUGAUGGCCAUGUUGAUCCUGUUAUGUAAACACGCUUCAUUUACGGUGGUUUCUCAUUAUGAUAUUUUCUUCAAAUAGAUUGCUUCCAUGUGUGACGGAACAUUUACUUGCGGAAAUAGUUCAACUGACAGUAACUGAUAUUACAAAAGCAAUUGAGUGGUUGCAAUGCUCAUACUUGUAUGUUAGAAUGAAAAAGAACCCUGAGAACUAUUCAAUUAAGAAAGGAAUUUCUGGUGAUCGUUUAGUGAAGCAUGUUCAAGGUGCAAUUGUUGUCCUGCAGUUGAGCUUAUAGCUUUCUAUUUUUAUCCCUCUCUUUCUCCAAGGUUUUUGUUUUCCUCCUAUUUCCCUUCAUUAAUUAUUGAAGCUAUGCUAUGUUAGAUAUUUGUGUUAAGAAAGUUAACGAGUUAUCUCAGCACCAAAUGGUAGAGAUUGAUAAAGAUGGUUUCCUCUUGAGCCCAUUAGAUCCUGGGAGGCUAAUGACAGUAUUAUUUGAGAUUUGAUACUAUGAAACAGAUAAUGAGGACACCUGAAAACUGCUGUCUAGAAGAUGCACUUCAUGUUAUUUGCUCUGCAGAAGAAAUUUCUUGUGCGGAUAUUCUCAUUAACUGUUUUAGUGUCUAAUG
Molecule: non-coding RNA, 1081 nt
Organism: Arachis ipaensis
Lineage: Eukaryota; Viridiplantae; Streptophyta; Magnoliopsida; Fabales; Fabaceae
Source: RefSeq, a predicted model, not a curated record